AGAGUUUGAUCCUGGCUCAGGACGAACGCUGGCGGCGUGCCUAAUACAUGCAAGUCGAGCGGACAGAAGGGAGCUUGCUCCCGGAUGUUAGCGGCGGACGGGUGAGUAACACGUGGGUAACCUGCCUGUAAGACUGGGAUAACUCCGGGAAACCGGAGCUAAUACCGGAUAGUUCCUUGAACCGCAUGGUUCAAGGAUGAAAGACGGUUUCGGCUGUCACUUACAGAUGGACCCGCGGCGCAUUAGCUAGUUGGUGAGGUAACGGCUCACCAAGGCGACGAUGCGUAGCCGACCUGAGAGGGUGAUCGGCCACACUGGGACUGAGACACGGCCCAGACUCCUACGGGAGGCAGCAGUAGGGAAUCCUUCCGCAAUGGACGAAAGUCUGACGGAGCAACGCCGCGUGAGUGAUGAAGGUUUUCGGAUCGUAAAGCUCUGUUGUUAGGGAAGAACAAGUGCAAGAGUAACUGCUUGCACCUUGACGGUACCUAACCAGAAAGCCACGGCUAACUACGUGCCAGCAGCCGCGGUAAUACGUAGGUGGCAAGCGUUGUCCGGAAUUAUUGGGCGUAAAGGGCUCGCAGGCGGUUUCUUAAGUCUGAUGUGAAAGCCCCCGGCUCAACCGGGGAGGGUCAUUGGAAACUGGGAAACUUGAGUGCAGAAGAGGAGAGUGGAAUUCCACGUGUAGCGGUGAAAUGCGUAGAGAUGUGGAGGAACACCAGUGGCGAAGGCGACUCUCUGGUCUGUAACUGACGCUGAGGAGCGAAAGCGUGGGGAGCGAACAGGAUUAGAUACCCUGGUAGUCCACGCCGUAAACGAUGAGUGCUAAGUGUUAGGGGGUUUCCGCCCCUUAGUGCUGCAGCUAACGCAUUAAGCACUCCGCCUGGGGAGUACGGUCGCAAGACUGAAACUCAAAGGAAUUGACGGGGGCCCGCACAAGCGGUGGAGCAUGUGGUUUAAUUUGAAGCAACGCGAAGAACCUUACCAGGUCUUGACAUCCUCUGACAACCCUAGAGAUAGGGCUUUCCCUUCGGGGACAGAGUGACAGGUGGUGCAUGGUUGUCGUCAGCUCGUGUCGUGAGAUGUUGGGUUAAGUCCCGCAACGAGCGCAACCCUUGAUCUUAGUUGCCAGCAUUCAGUUGGGCACUCUAAGGUGACUGCCGGUGACAAACCGGAGGAAGGUGGGGAUGACGUCAAAUCAUCAUGCCCCUUAUGACCUGGGCUACACACGUGCUACAAUGGACAGAACAAAGGGCUGCGAGACCGCAAGGUUUAGCCAAUCCCACAAAUCUGUUCUCAGUUCGGAUCGCAGUCUGCAACUCGACUGCGUGAAGCUGGAAUCGCUAGUAAUCGCGGAUCAGCAUGCCGCGGUGAAUACGUUCCCGGGCCUUGUACACACCGCCCGUCACACCACGAGAGUUUGCAACACCCGAAGUCGGUGAGGUAACCUUUAUGGAG
RNAcentral lists this ribosomal RNA (1458 nucleotides) under Bacillus pumilus. RNAcentral's name for it is "16S ribosomal RNA". It matches the Rfam family "Bacterial small subunit ribosomal RNA". The record is from RNAcentral. Lineage: Bacteria; Bacillati; Bacillota; Bacilli; Caryophanales; Bacillaceae.